CCCUUCCCCGGCCCUGGGCCGCGCUCCCUGCGACAGGGUCUGGCCUGGGCGGGUGGGUAAGGCUGCAGCCGCCACCGCUGGGAGCCAUAGGACAAUGGGGGCUUUUGUCCCUGUAUCUGGCGAGGACCAAUUACACGUUUAAUUUGAGGCUAAUUCGAUUACCGCCAUGGAAAAAGACAGGCUAAUUUUCUCGCAGCCUCUUCUCGCCCGCGAUGUUCACCUUUAGAACGUAAUGGAGAAAGAGUUGCACCGUUUGCGCGGUUUCAGCUCAGUGAUGGUGAUGAUGUCCAGCUUGGAGAGGGGUGACAGUGACCUCUCCGAGCGAAGCUUUGGGCGUUGGGGCCAGUCACGCGUAUUCCUUCAAGCGGUUAAUGUAUUCCUCCAUGGUGAAUGCUUUUUCACCUUUCCCCCAAGGGUAGCUGGCAGUAGUCUACAAGUGGUUUAUCUAACCCAUGACUCAUGGUCAAUCACAGGCUCAACUUUAACCUGAGGUCAGGUGCUCUGUCCUGGGUCUUUGGAAGUGAGGUCUGCCGGCUGCUUUGGAGGACCCCUGAGAUGGCGUGAAGAUUGGAGUUCUCCCACCUCCAUUUUCUGACACUGGACGUUUUCUUGAAUUUAUGUUCACUGCCCCUCACAAACAAGCCCACUGGCCACCCUGUCAUCUCCCAGGCUGUGCAGAAAUCCUGUAACUGCUCUCAAGGGAGGAAAAGGAUGGUGUGGUGGUGCACACUUGUGAUCCCAGUACUCAGAAGACUGAGGCAGGAGGAUUGCCAAGAGCCUGGACUACAAAAUGAGCUCAAGUCCAGAAUGAGCUACACAAUGAUGUACCAAUCCUGUAAACACACAAACAAAUGUUAAAACAAAAAUGACCUUGUUCCUUCUAGUCACCUGGGUGUAUACUGCUACCUGAAGAGUCUAUAAUAGACUUACAUCAUGGAAGAGAUGGAAGUGCCUACAGAGAUGUCCGUGUAGCUGCUUUGAGAAAGAAGAUGCAAUUACCACCACGGUUUGAUAACUUUAAGGGUGAAGUAGUGGCACACAUGUCCUGGUGGUAACCAACAGCUCUCUAAUUGGAUUUAAGACCUGCUCAACAAGAGAGAGACCAUUCCUGAGAGGUCUUUGGCACAACUCCAAACUCUGAGAACACUCAUUGAGGGAUUCCUGCACAGUCUGGGGGAUGUUUGACAGAGAUUCUUCAUGUAACAGGAUUGGCUGCCCUCAUCCAGCAGCUGGUGGAAGUAGAAGCAACACCCACAACUAAUCACUGAACUGACC
Cricetulus griseus (Chinese hamster) is the source of this 1275-nucleotide non-coding RNA. The record is from RefSeq and is a predicted model, not a curated record. NCBI's taxonomy places the organism in Eukaryota, Metazoa, Chordata, Mammalia, Rodentia, Cricetidae.